Molecule: ribosomal RNA, 236 nt
Filed under: uncultured Anaerolineaceae bacterium
Lineage: Bacteria; Bacillati; Chloroflexota; Anaerolineae; Anaerolineales; Anaerolineaceae
Description: partial 16S ribosomal RNA
Rfam family: Bacterial small subunit ribosomal RNA
Source: RNAcentral
ACUGCCGGUAAAAGCCGGAGGAAGGUGAGGAGUGAUGUCAAGUCAGCAUGACCUUUAUAUCCAGGGCUACACACACGCUACAAUGGUCUGUACAAUGGGUAGCCAAGCCGCGAGGCGGAGCCAAUCCUGAAAGCAAGGCCUCAGUUCAGAUUGCAGUCUGCAACUCGACUGCAUGAAGCCGGAGUUGCUAGUAACCGCAGGUCAGCAAUACUGCGGUGAAUACGUUCCCGGGUCUU